GUGUUUUCAAGGUGGAGGGAAGCUGCCCAAGUUGCUUGGAAGAGCACACCGAAGAGGGUGACAGUCCCGUGCGCGGCAGCGACCCACCGCCGACGAUGCACUUUCCACGAGUCGGGUUGCUUGGGAAUGCAGCCCAAAAUGGGAGGUAGACUCCUUCUAAAGCUAAAUAUUGACACGAGACCGAUAGCGAACAAGUACCGUGAGGGAAAGAUGAAAAGCACUUUGAAAAGAAAGUCAAAAGUACGUGAAACCGUCAGUGGGGAAGCGCAUGGAAUUAGCAGUGUCUCGGAGAGACUCAGGUCGCCGAGGGGGUCACGGUUGGCGCACAGAUCCGAUGGACUGAGCGUCCGCCGGUACGGACCCCGUAGGCGGCUGCACUUCUCUCCGCGGACGAGUCAACGAAUGUUGGGUGAGAGGCAGAUCCGAAUCUUGAAGGUGGCCGGCUCUCCGGAGCCGGUGUUAUAGCUAGAUGCUUGGCAUCUCUGACGCGACAUGGGUCGACGGAACAUUUCCCCCUCGGGGGGAUGGCCCUCGGGCACAAAUGUUUCCAAAGUCGUUGGCGGUCAAAUGAUUUCAUACGACCCGUCUUGAAACACGGACCAAGGAGUCUAACAUGUGUGCGAGUCUUCGAGUGAUCGAAACUCACAGGCGAAAUGAAAGUGAUAUAUGGGGUGAGAUCUAGGUGCCCGAUGCACCCAGCGCAUCAUCGACCGACCUAUCUAUCUUGCGAUAAAGGUUUGAGUAAGAGCACAUAUGCUGGGACCCGAAAGAUGGUGAACUAUGCUUGAGUAGGGUGAAGCCAGAAGAAAUUCUGGUGGAGGCUCGUAGCGAUUCUGACGUGCAAAUCGAUCGUCAAACUUGUGCAUAGGGGCGAAAGACUAAUCGAACCAUUUAGUAGCUGGUUCCCUCCGAAGUUUCCCUUAGGAUAGCUGGAGUUCGGAGUAACAGUUUCAUCCGGUAAAGCGAAUGAUUAGAGGUAUCAGGGAUGAAACAUUUUUGACCUAUUCUCAAACUUUCAAUGGGUGAGAAGUCCCGCCUGCCUGACGGAGGCGUGGACAGUGAAUGAAGGAGCUCCAAGUGGGCCAUUUUUGGUAAGCAGAACUGGCGAUGCGGGAUGAACCGAACGCGCGAGUUAAGGUGCCCAAAUCGACGCUCAUCAGACCCCACAAAAGGUGUUGGUUGAUCUUGACAGCAGGACGGUGGCCAUGGAAGUCGGAAUCCGCUAAGGAGUGUGUAACAACCCACCUGCCGAAUCAACUAGCCCUGAAAAUGGAUGGCGCUCAAGCGUCGUACCUAUACUCGGCCCACACCGCAAGCAGCGCCCGGUGUGGAGUAGGAGGGCGUGGAGGUUGUGCCGAAGCGCUUGGCGCGAGCCUGCGUGGAACGGCCUCUAGUGCAGAUCUUGGUGGUAGUAGCAAAUAUUCAAACGAGAACUUUGAAGGCCGAAGUGGAGAAAGGUUCCGUGUGAACAGCACUUGGACACGGGUUAGUCGAUCCUAAGGAUCAAGUUAACUCUGACGUGUAAGCGUGCACUCCGUGUGCACCCGAGCCGAAAGGGGAUCAGGUUAAUAUUCCUGAACCAGAACGCGGAUAUCUGCGUGUGGGUGUCAAAGCCUCGCGCAGUGUUACGGCAACGUAAGCGAACCCAGAGACGUCUUCGAGGACCCCGGGGAGAGUUCUCUUUUCUUGUUAACAGCCCGCCGGCACCGUGGAAGUUGCUUGCCAAGAGGUACGGUGCGCGCGGCUGGUAAAGCCCUACAUGUGCCGUAGGGUCCGGUGCGUCCGCGAAGGCCCUUGAAAAUCUGGGGGAGAGAAUGAUUUUCGCGUCUGUUCGUACUCAUAACCGCAGCAGGUCUCCAAGGUGAGCAGCCUCUGGCCGAUAGAACAAUGUAGGUAAGGGAAGUCGGCAAAACAGAUCCGUAACUUCGGGAA
This 1932-nucleotide ribosomal RNA is filed under the name Plumularia hyalina. RNAcentral's name for it is "eukaryotic LSU rRNA". It matches the Rfam family "Eukaryotic large subunit ribosomal RNA", at positions 158 to 1942 of the family's 3401-position model. Lineage: Eukaryota; Metazoa; Cnidaria; Hydrozoa; Leptothecata; Plumulariidae. The record is from RNAcentral.